This is a non-coding RNA of Lolium perenne, 2429 nucleotides long. Lineage: Eukaryota; Viridiplantae; Streptophyta; Magnoliopsida; Poales; Poaceae. The record is from RefSeq and is a predicted model, not a curated record.
CUCCAGCCCACCGGCCCAUACCUGUUCGUACGAAGACCAAGUCUUCCUCUUCUCCUUUUUCUUCCCACGAGAGUGGCGUGCUCUCCUUCCCGGUCAACAUCACCGCACCACCACGCCACCACCACACCUGCCCCCUCGCUUAAAGCCGCCCCGCACGCCUCCUGGAAACCCUAGCCUCUCUCCCCUCCACCGCCGCCACUUCCCCAUCCACCUUCUUCCCCUUCACACAGAGAAACAAAGAAGAGGAGAACGAACAACCAAAACCAUGGCCGGCCUUACAGUGAGCUCAACCGUGCCGUCGCCACAGGCGCUCCCUCGACGAGCUGGGACUACCAGAAGAACCGCAUCGUCGUCCUCUCCAUCCUCCCCAAAGGAAUCAAGCCAGGAGAGCUCCAAUCGACGGUGAAUUCGCCGAUUCCGUUCCCAUCCUGCCGGCGAGUUUCUUCGAUUCUGGCCGCGUUGGUGCUUCUCCGUCGCUUCUGAGCACAUCCACACACACCUGGCACCCAUCACCGGCGACACUCCGGCAAGCGCCCGGCCCCUUCUCUGCCGGCCGCAGGUCCGCCAGGCCAAGGCGCGUCCCCGACGCCAUCCUGUUCUCCCCGGUUCGCCCCCAAUCAUCGUCCCCAUCUCCGACCUGAGUCGUCCGCCAUGGCUGUUUCACCAGAAGUUUUCCGCCAUGGUCUGGUUCAAAGGGUAUACUUUCCCUUUGAAAACAACAUCAGUCGUAUUAGCACAGUGAUCUGGUGUCCCAUGGGUUUGAGCCCAGUUCCAUCGAUUCGGCCUGACGCCGAUGCACGCCCAGCAUCUGUCCACCGCAGGCCAGCAUUUGCUUCUUCCCGGAUAGGAUCGCGAAGUGGUGCUGUGAGAUACGACAAGUUCUCCGGAUGUUCCUCGGCAAACUUUAACAGGCAAGCAUUUUCCCUUAUACUCCUGUCCCUGCAGGAGUCGCUCACCCAUUUUAUUUUGCCUUCUCCCUCAUGCUAUCCUUAAGUUGCGUUCUUGUCACGUGUCCCUUCCACUUGUUACCUCAAGCAGCCUAUAUUGACUCCACCAACCUCCUAUAGCUAUUGUUUGGUUAUCGGGUCUGCCUUGCGAGUCGUAGUGCAUGCUAGUGCUGUUUUAUCUCGUUACCGUUGUUGUUAUCUUAUCGGGAUAUGUUGGGUUGUUGGGAGGUUAUCACAUGAUAUAUCAUUUGUUGGAGAUAAUCACACUUUACUUUAUUGUUAACAACUAAAAUUGUAAGCAGAGGCAUCUGUGAGCCCCUUUGCGAAAGCAUCGGAACUUUGACUUGCUAAUGUCCCCUAGGACCCGAGUUCUUGUUAUCUGUUCCGAGAUUGAGCGCUCUACCCGUACGUGGGGGAAUGGGACCCCCAUCACCCACUACCUUUCCUCGAGUCUGUUUAUUGGGAGCCACAACCUUGGUUUUAUUUGCCCAUAUGCACGAUGCACGAUUUACUUCUGUUGCCUUCGGGUGUUUAUAUUUUGUACUGCACUCAUAUUGCGUGCCGACUUAUCCUUGGCCGGUCGUUAGCGCCCGCCUUGGACGCCAUCGCAACCUCUGGGUCCGUAUCGGAGUACGGCCGAACUUCGUCACGGGUAGCUUAGUUGGGUGGCUCCCAUUAAACUUUCUCUUGCAUUGGGAACGGUCUUGAUGUGAGACUCCACCUAUAGUAAGUGGGUUCGAGCAUGCGUAUGGUUACAUUUGGGCAACCCCUGCAGGGUGUACAUCUUAUCGAUAAGCCGUGUCCGCGGUUAUGGACGACUUGGAAUUGUAUAGCUUGAUCAUAGAACAACUUACACCGUUAUCUUGUUGCUAAUAAUCUGAUAAUAACUUGCGUAGUAAUAUAGCCUUACUACAACCGUUACCCAAUAAAAUGUGUCCACCGUUGAGUGCCUUUUACAUGCCUCUUCGCAAUUGUUGGAGGGGAUAUGUGUAAUCGGCUGGGUUAUGUUUGUGUAGUAUUUUACCUGUUACCUUAUGCGCUCUCUCACCUUCUCUGAUUAGACGAAUGUUGUAGAGUGUCUCUAUAGGUUUUUAGUGCUUGCGCUGCCGCUUAACUCCACCAUAUUGCCUAUGACGUUUCUCUUGCGUCCUCUAAGUCCCCUGCGUGCCUCAAGUACAAAGGACGACUGGUUGACGAAUGCUUAUACGUCUUGAAGUCUUGUUAAGUACGAACCCGUACUUAUUGCUGCUUCUACGGGAUAUAACCGGGCAGGUAUGAAGAUAUGUUCGAUGAAGACGAUGUUAGCAAGGUUACCUUUCCGGCUUGGCCUGGGCAGGGUUAUGGACGCCACUGGUUAUCUUCAGGACUCUUAGUCCAAUUUGUAUCUUGUCCGUACUCGGACGUAUUCGAUCUUCUGUAUGAUUUGAAUCUUUGUAUUGUAUAUUUGUAUCUUGACUCGUUGGAGUCGUUGUUGUAAUAUAU